This 396-nucleotide ribosomal RNA is filed under the name Malaraeus eremicus. Its description in RNAcentral is "partial 16S ribosomal RNA". Lineage: Eukaryota; Metazoa; Arthropoda; Insecta; Siphonaptera; Ceratophyllidae. The record is from RNAcentral.
AACAUCUGCACCUAAAAAUAAUCUUAAUCCAACAUCGAGGUCGCAAUCUUUCUUAUCGAUAUGUUCUCUCUAAGAAAAUUACGCUGUUAUCCCUUAAGUAACUUAAUCUUUUAAUCAUUAAAAAUGGAUCAACUCAUAUACUAAUGAAAAAAAGUUAAAUAAAUUUUCCUAUCACCCCAAUAAAAUAUUAUAUAAAGCUUUAAAGGGUCUUCUCGUCCUUUAAUAAUAUUUAAGCUUUUUAACUUAAAAAUUAAAUUCUAAAUCAUUUAAAAUAAGACAGUUAAUAUUUCAUUCAAUCAUUCAUUCUAGCUUCUAAUUAAGAAACUAUUGAUUAUGCUACCUUUGCACAGUCAAAAUACUGCGGCCUUUUUCAAUGGGCAGAUUAGACUUUAAAUU